Molecule: small RNA, 80 nt
Filed under: Flavobacterium limicola
Lineage: Bacteria; Pseudomonadati; Bacteroidota; Flavobacteriia; Flavobacteriales; Flavobacteriaceae
Description: Flavo-1 RNA
Rfam family: Flavo-1 RNA
Source: RNAcentral
UAAUAGCCCUGAUAGCAGUGGAAAUCCUUUUCCUUUUUUCUUUAAAAAGGAAAAGAUUGCAACGAAUAGCAGGAAAUAGC